Molecule: ribosomal RNA, 465 nt
Filed under: Vreelandella stevensii
Lineage: Bacteria; Pseudomonadati; Pseudomonadota; Gammaproteobacteria; Oceanospirillales; Halomonadaceae
Description: partial 16S ribosomal RNA
Rfam family: Bacterial small subunit ribosomal RNA
Source: RNAcentral
CCUACGGGAGGCUGCAGUGGGGAAUAUUGGACAAUGGGCGAAAGCCUGAUCCAGCCAUGCCGCGUGUGUGAAGAAGGCCUUCGGGUUGUAAAGCACUUUCAGUGGGGAAGAAAGCCUUGGGGCUAAUACCCUCGAGGAAGGACAUCACCCACAGAAGAAGCACCGGCUAACUCCGUGCCAGCAGCCGCGGUAAUACGGAGGGUGCGAGCGUUAAUCGGAAUUACUGGGCGUAAAGCGCGCGUAGGCGGUCUGAUAAGCCGGUUGUGAAAGCCCCGGGCUCAACCUGGGAACGGCAUCCGGAACUGUCAGGCUAGAGUGCAGGAGAGGAAGGUAGAAGUCCCGGUGUAGCGCUGAAAUGCGUAGAGAUCGGGAGGAAUACCAGUGGCGAAGGCGGCCUUCUGGACUGACACUGACGCUGAGGUGCGAAAGCGUGGGUAGCAAACAGGAUUAGAUACCCCGGUAGUC